Molecule: RNA transcript, 2372 nt
Organism: Dioscorea cayenensis subsp. rotundata (Guinea yam)
Lineage: Eukaryota; Viridiplantae; Streptophyta; Magnoliopsida; Dioscoreales; Dioscoreaceae
Gene name: transcription factor ICE1-like
Exons: 5
Source: RefSeq, a predicted model, not a curated record
CUUUCCUUCGCUUCUCUUCGACCUGAACGUUCGCUUCUCUCUCUCUCUCUCUCUCUCUCGCUCUCGCCUUCGCUUCUCUUCGACGUUCGUUUCUCUCUCUCUCUUUCUCGCUCUCUCUUCCUCCAUCUUCGGAGCUAUGCUCUCGCGCAUCAAUGGCGGUGCCGCAUGGUCGGAGGACGCCGGAGGAGCAGGAGACCAAGACGAAGAGGCGGCGACGUGGACGAGAACCAUCAAUCCCGAAGCAAAGGACGGCAUGGCGCAGCUGGCGAGCUUCAAGUCUAUGCUUGACGAUGACUGGUACCCUCAGAGCUUUGAAGCUCUGCAAACCCACUCGGAAAUCAAGCAGAUGAGCUUCCCCACUGACCCGGCUUCCACUGAUGCUAUGCUCUUCAACCCCGCUAUGGAUUCCUCCUCCUCUUGCUCGCCUUCUUCUCUUUUCAACCUCGAUUCGUCUCACCCGUUCUUCUCCUCGAAAACCAUGAUUUCUUCCUUCCUUGGAGCUGCGUCUUCGAUGCCUUUUGAUACUGGGGCUGAUCUCGGGUGUGAUGCUUCGGGGUUCCUUGCGGAGCCCCAGGUGUCGAAUUCACCAGUGUUGAUGAGUAGAGAGGGAGGCGGUGGUGGGGUUCUUGGGUUCUCUGGGUUGGGGGCUAAUGUGCAGAUGAAUUGCUCAACUGUUGGCUCGGGUAUUCAGUUUCAUAGCAACAGCUUGAUGCUAGGGCAGAAGAGUUGUUCUGGCUCGGGCUCUGGCUCUGGUGCUGGUUUUGAGCCUAUGGGCUUUGAGAGCUUUGAGAAUUCUCCGUUCCUUAACAGGACUAAGGUUUUGAGGCCUCUGGAGAUUUUCCCGCCGGUGGGCGCUCAGCCGACGCUUUUCCAGAAGCGAGCGGCGACCAUUCGGCAAAACUCUGGCUUGGGGGGAGAGAAAGGUGGGAGUUUUGGGGGAAUUAUUGGUUUAGAGGGAGGGAAGCAGGGGAGUAAUGAGGAGAGUGAGAAGAGGAAGAGGAGGUGGAGUGAAGAGGAUGAUUUUGAGGAAGGGAGCUUUGAUGGCUCUGGUUUGAAUUAUGAUUCAGAGGAGAAUGGGAAGGGGGAGGAGAGUGGGAAGAAUGGUGCUGGUGGUGGAGGGAAUGCUUCUAAUGCCAAUAGCACAGUGACAGGUGGCGGGACUGAUCCCAAAGGGAAGAAGAAGGGCUUGCCUGCAAAGAAUCUGAUGGCCGAGAGGAGGAGAAGGAAGAAGCUCAAUGACCGGCUUUACAUGCUUAGAUCUGUGGUUCCCAAGAUCAGCAAGAUGGAUCGAGCGUCUAUACUUGGUGAUGCAAUUGAAUACCUAAAGGAGCUUUUACAAAGAAUCAAUGACCUUCACAAUGAACUUGAGUCAACACCUUCGAGUUCCUCAAUGGCUGCCACCACUCCUACCAGUUUUCACCCUUUGACUCCUACGCCAUCCACUCUACCAUGUCGAGUGAAGGAAGAGCUCUGUCCAAGUUCAUUGCCAAGCCCAAGUAACCAACCAGCCAGGGUGGAAGUAAGGGUACGAGAAGGCCGAGCAGUCAACAUACAUAUGUUCUGUGCUCGUCGACCUGGCCUUCUUCUCUCAACAAUGAGGGCACUCGAUGGACUUGGUCUGGACAUCCAACAGGCGGUCAUCAGCUGCUUCAAUGGCUUUGCCCUAGAUGUUUUCAGAGCUGAGCAAUGCAAAGAUGGGCCUGGCGUUCUUCCAGAGGAAAUAAAGGCUGUGCUUUUGCACUCUGCUGGUUUUCAAAGUACUAUGUGAUCUACACAUCAGAGGACAAUUCAGAAAUGGCACUAACUGUAGUUCUACUCGCCAGUGGAUUACUAAAGGACAGUUCUAAGUUCUAAACAGUGGUAAGUAUAUAAAUAGGGAUUCUACCUCUUUCGCUUGCCUUGUUGUGCUUGGAGGUGCUCUCAACAGGACUAUACCAUUGCAUAAAGAAAUGGACACUUCUUCCCAAAUGACUGGUGCAUUAUAUAUAUAAUAUAAUAUAUAUAUUUAUAGAGAUGUAUAUGCUUUUGAUGGGUGCUAGGAUCUGAUGCGGAGAUAGUUAUAUAUCAAAUAAAGACAGGCUUGCUGAUCAUUGCGCAUAGUGACUGAAAAGGCACACAAUUGGAUCACAAGGGGGCAUAGUCCUAGUCCUAGUCAUAGUCCUAGUCCUACUCAUACUCCUAGUCCUGGGCCCCCAAAGCACUAGUGUCUUGUUUACAUCAAAUCAGUGGUCAUUCUGACAGAUUCUUUCAGGUGACACCUUUAGGAGGGUUAUUAAUCUUCUUUGUUUAAGGAAUUUCUGCUACACUUUUGUCUUUCUGGACAGCUUUCAUGAGGGCACUCAUUCAUUUGCAUGUCCAAUCAAUCAGUCAGU